Molecule: ribosomal RNA, 492 nt
Filed under: uncultured bacterium
Lineage: Bacteria
Description: partial 16S ribosomal RNA
Rfam family: Bacterial small subunit ribosomal RNA
Source: RNAcentral
AGUGAACGCUGGCGGUAGGCCUAACACAUGCAAGUCGAACGGCAGCACAGUAAGAGCUUGCUCUUACGGGUGGCGAGUGGCGGACGGGUGAGGAAUACAUCGGAAUCUACUUUUUCGUGGGGGAUCACGUAGGGAAACUUACGCUAAUACCGCAUACGACCUACGGGUGAAAGCAGGGGAUCUUCGGACCUUGCGCGAUUGAAUGAGCCGAUGUCGGAUUAGUUAGUUGGCGGGGUAAAGGCCCACCAAGGCGACGGUCCGUAGCUGGUCUGAGAGGAUGAUCAGCCACACUGGAACUGAGACACGGUCCAGACUCCUACGGGAGGCAGCAGUGGGGAAUAUUGGACAAUGGGCGCAAGCCUGAUCCAGCCAUACCGCGUGGGUGAAGAAGGCCUUCGGGUUGUAAGGCCCUUUUGUUGGGAAAGAAAAGCAGCAGGUUAAUACCCCGCUGUUCUGACGGUACCCAAAGAAUAAGCACCGGCUAACUUCGUG